This 253-nucleotide ribosomal RNA is filed under the name uncultured bacterium. RNAcentral's name for it is "partial 16S ribosomal RNA". It matches the Rfam family "Bacterial small subunit ribosomal RNA", at positions 524 to 776 of the family's 1533-position model. The record is from RNAcentral.
UACGGGGGGGGCAAGCGUUGUUCGGAAUUACUGGGCGUAAAGGGCUCGUAGGCGGCCAACUAAGUCAGACGUGAAAUCCCUCGGCUUAACCGGGGAACUGCGUCUGAUACUGGAUGGCUUGAGAUUGGGAGAGGGAUGCGGAAUUCCAGGUGUAGCGGUGAAAUGCGUAGAUAUCUGGAGGAACACCGGUGGCGAAGGCGGCUUUCUGGUCUGUAACUGACGCUGAGGCGCGAAAGCGUGGGGAGCAAACAGG